This 709-nucleotide ribosomal RNA is filed under the name uncultured bacterium. Its description in RNAcentral is "bacterial SSU rRNA". It matches the Rfam family "Bacterial small subunit ribosomal RNA", at positions 59 to 760 of the family's 1533-position model. The record is from RNAcentral.
CAGUCGACGGCAGCACGGGAGCAAUCCUGGUGGCGAGUGGCGAACGGGUGAGUAAUAUAUCGGAACGUGCCCAGUCGUGGGGGAUAACGUAGAGAAAUUUACGCUAAUACCGCAUACGAUCUAAGGAUGAAAGCGGGGGACUUCGCAAGAGGCCUCGCGCGAUUGGAGCGGCUGAUAUCAGAUUAGGUUGUUGGUGAGGUAAAAGCUCACCAAGCCGACGAUCUGUAGCUGGUUUGAGAGAACGACCAGCCACACUGGGACUGAGACACGGCCCAGACUCCUACGGGAGGCAGCAGUGGGGAAUUUUGGACAAAGGGCGAAAGCCUGAUCCAGCAAUGCCGCGUGCAGGAAGAAGGCCUUCGGGUUGUAAACUGCUUUUGUACGGAACGAAAAGGUCUGCCUUAAUACGGCGGGCCCAUGACGGUACCGUAAGAAUAAGCACCGGCUAACUACGUGCCAGCAGCCGCGGUAAUACGUAGGGUGCGAGCGUUAAUCGGAAUUACUGGGCGUAAAGCGUGCGCAGGCGGUGAUGUAAGACAGUUGUGAAAUCCCCGGGCUCAACCUGGGAAUUGCAUCUGUGACUGCAUCGCUAGAGUACGGUAGAGGGGGAUGGAAUUCCGCGUGUAGCAGUGAAAUGCGUAGAUAUGCGGAGGAACACCGAUGGCGAAGGCAAUCCCCUGGACCUGUACUGACGCUCAUGCACGAAAGC